Molecule: ribosomal RNA, 439 nt
Filed under: uncultured bacterium
Lineage: Bacteria
Description: partial 16S ribosomal RNA
Rfam family: Bacterial small subunit ribosomal RNA
Source: RNAcentral
CCUACGGGAGGCUGCAGUGGGGAAUAUUGCACAAUGGGCGAAAGCCUGAUGCAGCAACGCCGCGUGGGCGAUGAAGGCCUUCGGGUCGUAAAGCUCUGUCCUCAAGGAAGAUAAUGACGGUACUUGAGGAAGAAGCCCCGGCUAACUACGUUCCAGCAGCCGCGGUAAGUCGUAGGGGGCUAGCGUUAUCCGGAAUUACUGGGCGAAAAGGGUGAGUAGGUGGUUUCUUAAGUCAGAGGUGAAAGGCUACGGCUCAACCGUAGUAAGCCUUUGAAACUGGGGAACUUGAGUGCAGGAGAGGAGAGUGGAAUUCCUAGUGUAGCGGUGAAAUGCGUAGAUAUUAGGAGGAACACCAGUGGCGAAGGCGGCUCUCUGGACUGUAACUGACACUGAGGCACGAAAGCGUGGGGAGCAAACAGGAUUAGAUACCCCAGUAGUC